AUUGAACGCUAGCGGCAGGCUUAACACAUGCAUGUAGAGCGAGCGGCGUACGGGUGAGUAAUGUCUGGGACACUGCCCGGUGGAGGGGGAUCACUACUGGAAACGGUGGCUAAUACCGCACACCAUCAGCUGUGCCCAGAUGGGAUUAGCUAGUGGGUGGGGUAAUGGCGCACCUAGCCGACGAUCGCUAGCUGGUCUGAGAGGAUGACCAGCCACACUGGAAAGGAGACACGGUCCAGACUCCUACGGGAGGCAGCAGUGGGGAAUAUUGCACAAUGGGCGCAAGCCCGAUGCAGCCACGCCGCGGAUGUGAAGAAGGCCCUCGGGUUGUAAAGCACUCUCAGCGAGGAGGCGGUAAUCGCAGAAGAAGCACCGGCUAACUCCGUGCCAGCAGCCGCGGUAAUUC
RNAcentral lists this ribosomal RNA (406 nucleotides) under uncultured bacterium. RNAcentral describes it as "partial 16S ribosomal RNA". It matches the Rfam family "Bacterial small subunit ribosomal RNA", at positions 29 to 526 of the family's 1533-position model. The record is from RNAcentral.